Molecule: ribosomal RNA, 468 nt
Filed under: uncultured bacterium
Lineage: Bacteria
Description: partial 16S ribosomal RNA
Rfam family: Bacterial small subunit ribosomal RNA
Source: RNAcentral
GACGAACGCUGGCGGCGUGCUUAACACAUGCAAGUCGAACGGAAAGGCCCUGCUUUUGUGGGGUGCUCGAGUGGCGAACGGGUGAGUAACACGUGAGUAACCUGCCCUUGACUUUGGGAUAACUUCAGGAAACUGGGGCUCAUACCGGAUAGGAGCUCCCGCUGCAUGGUGGGGGUUGGAAAGUUUCGGCGGUUGGGGAUGGACUCGCGGCCUAUCAGCUUGUUGGUGGGGUAGUGGCUUACCAAGGCUUUGACGGGUAGCCGGCCUGAGAGGGUGACCGGCCACAUUGGGACUGAGAUACGGCCCAGACUCCUACGGGAGGCAGCAGUGGGGAAUAUUGCACAAUGGGCGGAAGCCUGAUGCAGCAACGCCGCGUGCGGGAUGACGGCCUUCGGGUUGUAAACCGCUUUCGCCUGUGACGAAGCGUGAGUGACGGUAAUGGGUAAAGAAGCACCGGCUAACUACGUG